RNAcentral lists this ribosomal RNA (782 nucleotides) under uncultured bacterium. RNAcentral's name for it is "bacterial SSU rRNA". It matches the Rfam family "Bacterial small subunit ribosomal RNA", at positions 1 to 777 of the family's 1533-position model. The record is from RNAcentral.
CCCUUAGAGUUUGAUCAUGGCUCAGAAUGAACGUUGUCGGCGUGGAUUAGGCAUGCAAGUCGAGCGAGAAUCUACUGAUUGAAGCUUCGGCUGAUUGAUGUAGAGGACAGCGGCAAACGGGGUAGUUAGGCGCAGGUUACGUACCCUCUGGUUGGGGAUAGCCACGGGAAACUGUGGGUAAUACCCAAUGAUCCGGUAACGGCAAAGGUGAGAUUCCGCCGGAGGAGCGGUCUGCGUGGUAUUAGCUUGUUGGUGAGGUAAUGGCUCACCAAGGCGAAGAUGCCUAGGGGGUGUGAGAGCAUGGCCCCCACCACUGGGACUGAGACACUGCCCAGACACCUACGGGUGGCUGCAGUCGAGAAUCUUUGGCAAUGCACGCAAGUGUGACCAAGCGACGCCGAGUGCUGGAUGAAGGCCUUCGGGUUGUAAACAGCUGUCAGAGGGGAUGAAAUUGUUGGGGGCCAUCCCUCUUCAUUGACAAAGCCUCAGAGGAAGCGCGGGCUAAGUUCGUGCCAGCAGCCGCGGUAAUACGAACUGCGCGAACGUUAUUCGGAAUCACUGGGCUUAAAGGGUGCGUAGGCGGCCUGUUAAGUAGGGUGUGAAAUUUGUCGGCUCAACCGGCAAACUGCAUUCUAAACUGGCAGGCUUGAGUGAGUCAGGGGUGUGCGGAACUUCCGGUGGAGCGGUGAAAUGCGUUGAUAUCGGAAGGAACGCCGGUGGCGAAAGCGGCACACUGGGGCUUUUCUGACGCUGAGGCACGAAAGCUAGGGGAGCGAACAGGA